RNAcentral lists this long non-coding RNA (284 nucleotides) under Homo sapiens (human). Its description in RNAcentral is "non-protein coding lnc-OR4F29-7:7". Lineage: Eukaryota; Metazoa; Chordata; Mammalia; Primates; Hominidae. The record is from RNAcentral.
UCCUCAAGUCGGCCUCUCCAGACCCACUUGCACCCUCCGGGCGUUCUCUCCGGGCCCAGCUCUUCUUCCUGGUUGGGUCUCCAGGCCCGAUUCCUGCCUCUCAACAACCUCUUUGGACUCAGUGCCUACCCAUCUCCUGGCGGCCUUGGUCGGUCCACAGCUUCCUCAAGCCAAGCUCCCCAGGCCCAGGUCAGGCCUCACGGUGGCCUCUCCAGGAUGAGCUCCUGCCCUCCGAUGGCAUCUCCAGGCCCCAAAUGGUCUCCGGUCGGUGGGCUCCUCCACGC